This 492-nucleotide ribosomal RNA is filed under the name uncultured bacterium. Its description in RNAcentral is "partial 16S ribosomal RNA". It matches the Rfam family "Bacterial small subunit ribosomal RNA", at positions 29 to 507 of the family's 1533-position model. The record is from RNAcentral.
AGUGAACGCUGGCGGUAGGCCUAACACAUGCAAGUCGAACGGCAGCACAGUAAGAGCUUGCUCUUACGGGUGGCGAGUGGCGGACGGGUGAGGAAUACAUCGGAAUCUACUUUUUCGUGGGGGAUAACGUAGGGAAACUUACGCUACUACCGCAUACGACCUACGGGUGAAAGCAGGGGAUCUUCGGACCUUGCGCGAUUGAAUGAGCCGAUGUCGGAUUAGCUAGUUGGCGGGGUAAAGGCCCACCAAGGCGACGAUGCGUAGCUGGUCUGAGAGGAUGAUCAGCCACACUGGAACUGAGACACGGUCCAGACUCCUACGGGAGGCAGCAGUGGGGAAUAUUGGACAAUGGGCGCAAGCCUGAUCCAGCCAUACCGCGUGGGUGAAGAAGGCCUUCGGGUUGUAAAGCCCUUUUGUUGGGAAAGAAAAGCAGCAGGUGAAUACCCCGCUGUUCUGACGGUACCCAAAGAAUAAGCACCGGCUAACUUCGUG